GCCAGGUGCAGUGGCGCAUGCCAGUAAUCCCAUAUACUCUGGAGGCUGAAGCAGGAGAAUUGCAAGUGCUAGGGCUGGUUUUAGCAAUUUAGCAAGAUCUUUUCUCAA
This 108-nucleotide small RNA is filed under the name Marmota monax (woodchuck). The record is from RNAcentral. Lineage: Eukaryota; Metazoa; Chordata; Mammalia; Rodentia; Sciuridae.